UUGUCUCUUGGUAUAACUCUAGGGUUGGGCAAAGGACAUUGAUUACACCUUGGGAAACACUUAUCAAAUUGAGUCUCUUGGCCACGGGAAGAGAUUCGGGAUUUGGGUAGAAUUAGGAUUAAUUCUUGUAACUCAAUUGGAACUCUUUGUAAAGUUACNNNNNNNNNNNNNNNUUCUUGUAACUCAAUUGGAACUCUUGGUAAAGUUACUCGUUUGAUAUAGUGGAACGGAGGGGCUGCUCUCUCCCCCAGACUAGGUCAUUAUUGGACCGAACUGGGUAAACAAAUUAUCGUGUUCUUUCUUCUCCUUUAUCUUGUUUAUC
Molecule: long non-coding RNA, 322 nt
Filed under: Trifolium pratense (red clover)
Lineage: Eukaryota; Viridiplantae; Streptophyta; Magnoliopsida; Fabales; Fabaceae
Description: long non-coding RNA (TPRA_LNC012241)
Source: RNAcentral